RNAcentral lists this ribosomal RNA (493 nucleotides) under uncultured bacterium. Its description in RNAcentral is "partial 16S ribosomal RNA". It matches the Rfam family "Bacterial small subunit ribosomal RNA", at positions 30 to 523 of the family's 1533-position model. The record is from RNAcentral.
AUUGAACGCUGGCGGCAUGCCUUACACAUGCAAGUCGAACGGUAACAGGUUAAGCUGACGAGUGGCGAACGGGUGAGUAAUAUAUCGGAACGUGCCCAGUCGUGGGGGAUAACGUAGCGAAAGCUACGCUAAUACCGCAUACGAUCUACGGCUGAAAGCGGGGGAUCGCAAGACCUCGCGCGAUUGGAGCGGCCGAUAUCAGUUUAGGUUGUUGGUGAGGUAAAGGCUCACCAAGCCUGCGAUCUGGAGCUGGUCUGAGAGGACGACCAGCCACACUGGAACUGAGACACAGUCCAGACUCCUACGGGAGGCAGCAGUGGGAAAUUUUGGACAAUGGACGCAAGUCUGAUCCAGCAAUGCCGCGUGCAGGACGAAGGCCUUCGGGUUGUAAACUGCUUUUGUACGGAACGAAACGGCGAGCUCUAAUACAGUUUGCUAAUGACGGUACCGUAAGAAGAAGCACCGGCUAACUACGUGCCAGCCGCCGCCGUAA